UACGUAGGGGGCUAGCGUUGUCCGGAUUUAUUGGGCGUAAAGAGCGUGUAGGCGGCCAGGUAGGUCUGGUGUGAAAACUCGAGGCUUAACCUCGAGAUGUCAUCGGAAACCAUUUGGCUAGAGUCCGGAAGAGGAGAGUGGAAUUCCUGGUGUAGCGGUGAAAUGCGCAGAUAUCAGGAAGAACACCGGUGGCGAAAGCGCUCUGCUGGACCUUAACUGACACUGAGGGACGAAAGCUAGGGGAGCGAAUGGG
This 253-nucleotide ribosomal RNA is filed under the name uncultured bacterium. Its description in RNAcentral is "partial 16S ribosomal RNA". It matches the Rfam family "Bacterial small subunit ribosomal RNA", at positions 524 to 776 of the family's 1533-position model. The record is from RNAcentral.